This 1367-nucleotide ribosomal RNA is filed under the name uncultured bacterium. RNAcentral's name for it is "bacterial SSU rRNA". It matches the Rfam family "Bacterial small subunit ribosomal RNA". The record is from RNAcentral.
GAGUUUGAUCCUGGCUCAGGACGAACGCUGGCGGCGCGCCUAACACAUGCAAGUCGAACGAGCAAAGAGGAGCUUGCUUCUCUGAGCGAGUGGCGAACGGGUGAGUAACGCGUGAGGAACCUGCCUCAAAGAGGGGGACAACAGUUGGAAACGACUGCUAAUACCGCAUAAGCCCACGGGUCGGCAUCGACCAGAGGGAAAAGGAGUGAUCCGCUUUGAGAUGGCCUCGCGUCCGAUUAGCUAGUUGGUGAGGUAACGGCCCACCAAGGCGACGAUCGGUAGCCGGACUGAGAGGUUGAACGGCCACAUUGGGACUGAGACACGGCCCAGACUCCUACGGGAGGCAGCAGUGGGGAAUAUUGCACAAUGGGGGAAACCCUGAUGCAGCGACGCCGCGUGGAGGAAGAAGGUCUUCGGAUUGUAAACUCCUGUUGUUGAGGAAGAUAAUGACGGUACCCAACAAGGAAGUGACGGCUAACUACGUGCCAGCAGCCGCGGUAAAACGUAGGUCACAAGCGUUGUCCGGAAUUACUGGGUGUAAAGGGAGCGCAGGCGGGAAGACAAGUUGGAAGUGAAAUCCAUGGGCUCAACCCAUGAACUGCUUUCAAAACUGUUUUUCUUGAGUAGUGCAGAGGUAGGCGGAAUUCCCGGUGUAGCGGUGGAAUGCGUAGAUAUCGGGAGGAACACCAGUGGCGAAGGCGGCCUACUGGGCACCAACUGACGCUGAGGCUCGGAAGUGUGGGUAGCAACAGGAUUAGAUACCCUGGUAGUCCACACCGUAAACGAUGAUUACUAGGUGUUGGAGGAUUGACCCCUUCAGUGCCGCAGUUAACACAAUAAGUAAUCCACCUGGGGAGUACGACCGCAAGGUUGAAACUCAAAGGAAUUGACGGGGGCCCGCACAAGCAGUGGAGUAUGUGGUUUAAUUCGACGCAACGCGAAGAACCUUACCAAGUCUUGACAUCCUGCGACGGACAUAGAAAUAUGUCUUUCCUUCGGGACGCAGAGACAGGUGGUGCAUGGUUGUCGUCAGCUCGUGUCGUGAGAUGUUGGGUUAAGUCCCGCAACGAGCGCAACCCUUAUGGUCAGUUACUACGCAAGAGGACUCUGGCCAGACUGCCGUUGACAAAACGGAGGAAGGUGGGGAUGACGUCAAAUCAUCAUGCCCUUUAUGACUUGGGCUACACACGUACUACAAUGGCGUUAAACAAAGAGAAGCAAGACCGCGAGGUGGAGCAAGACUCAGAAACCACGCCCCAGUUCGGACUGCAGGCUGCAACUCGCCUGCACGAAGUCGGAAUUGCUAGUAAUCGUGGAUCAGCAUGCCACGGUGAAUACGUUCCCGGGCCUUGUACACACCGCCCGUC